UACGUAGGGUGCGAGCGUUGUCCGGAAUUACUGGGCGUAAAGGGCGCGUAGGCGGCCGAUCAAGUCAGAUGUGAAAGUCCUGGGCUUAACCUGGGGACUGCAUUUGAUACUGAUUGGCUUGAAUGCAGGAGAGGAUAGCGGAAUUCCCAGUGUAGAGGUGAAAUUCGUAGAUAUUGGGAAGAACACCGGUGGCGAAGGCGGCUAUCUGGACUGUGAUUGACGCUGAGGCGCGAAAGCCAGGGGAGCAAACGGG
Molecule: ribosomal RNA, 253 nt
Filed under: uncultured bacterium
Lineage: Bacteria
Description: partial 16S ribosomal RNA
Rfam family: Bacterial small subunit ribosomal RNA
Source: RNAcentral